RNAcentral lists this microRNA precursor (103 nucleotides) under Marmota monax (woodchuck). The record is from RNAcentral. Lineage: Eukaryota; Metazoa; Chordata; Mammalia; Rodentia; Sciuridae.
AGAGGGAUUGCUGGGUCAAAUGGUGGUUCAAUACCAAGAUUUCCAAGGAAUCUCUAUAUUGCUUUCUAUAUUGGAUGCACCAAUUUGCAGUCCCACCAGCAAU